GCUUACAGCUGUACCACCCUGUGUCUGCCUGCUCUCUUUAGAUCUGAGAAGCAAAAAAAAAAGGAUGGGGCCAUGUUGGUAUUAGGCUUGGAGAUCACCUGGGAAUACAAGAUGCUGUAAGCU
Molecule: ribosomal RNA, 123 nt
Filed under: Kryptolebias marmoratus (mangrove rivulus)
Lineage: Eukaryota; Metazoa; Chordata; Actinopteri; Cyprinodontiformes; Rivulidae
Source: RNAcentral